GCUGCUGAAGGCUUACAUUUAGAGGGUGAGACACAAAUUGAACGGAAGAUUCUGCAAGAAGUUUGAAGUAGUAUAAAUGUGAUAAUUCUUCUUAGUUCUUUGGUAGUGUUGGGCGACUGUAUCUUGAACCGGAGAUUCCUUCUUUGACCUAGAAGAGUCUUUCUGCGCUGAUCCGUCUCUGAGUUGCUCACAGGAUGUUCUGCACUCGAUCUUUACUGCAAUCUAUGCAUUGUUAUUGUCGUCCAACAGUGGGUUUAAUAUGUUUUCUGAAUAAGGCUCUGAAGCUUGUCCAUCAAAAAAGUAUUGGUGUCACUCUCUUGCACAUUGUCCUCGAAAAUUAAUGGUGGAUUCAGCUGGACCAGCCAGGAAGUUUGUUUAUUUUCUGUAGGGGUUUUCUACGAGUUAUCAACUGAAGGCAUAUGACGUACAUUCAUCUAUGUGUUCUUCAUUCUUUUCUUAAAUAAGUCAAAAGAGCCGCAAUCCGUUGAAAUCUGUGCCUUGUGCUACAAGAAGAAUGGAUAAGU
RNAcentral lists this long non-coding RNA (524 nucleotides) under Vitis vinifera (wine grape). RNAcentral describes it as "long non-coding RNA (VVIN_LNC000558)". The record is from RNAcentral. Lineage: Eukaryota; Viridiplantae; Streptophyta; Magnoliopsida; Vitales; Vitaceae.